This 329-nucleotide unclassified non-coding RNA is filed under the name soil metagenome. RNAcentral describes it as "partial contains 5.8S ribosomal RNA, internal transcribed spacer 2, and large subunit ribosomal RNA". The stretch from base 1 to 120 matches the Rfam family "5.8S ribosomal RNA", at positions 35 to 154 of the family's 154-position model. The record is from RNAcentral.
GAUGAAGAACGCAGCGAAAUGCGAUAAGUAAUGUGAAUUGCAGAAUUCAGUGAAUCAUCGAAUCUUUGAACGCACAUUGCGCCCCCUGGUAUUCCGGGGGGCAUGCCUGUUCGAGCGUCAUUUCACCACUCAAGCUCAGCUUGGUGUUGGGCCCCGCCGCCCCGGCGGGCCCUAAAGUCAGUGGCGGUGCCGUCCGGCUCCGAGCGUAGUAAUUCUUCUCGCUCUGGAGGUCCGGUCGUGUGCUCGCCAGCAACCCCCAAUUUUUUUCAGGUUGACCUCGGAUCAGGUAGGGAUACCCGCUGAACUUAAGCAUAUCAAUAAGCGGAGGA